CGCCGUCCCCUCCAGGGUCCUGCCCGUCCCCUCAGGCACCCUGCCCAGGAGGGGAUUUACCGAUUUUAUCCGGGGCUCCUGCGGGACAGCGGCCGUGAAGGAAUGCGGGCAGCUCCCGGCUGACCCUCGCCGGCUCGGAGUUACCUGCUGCGAGGAAGCACCGACCAAGAAAUUCUUCUGUAAGUACAACUGAAUUGAGUAGGACGAAGACACAAAAACUAUGUAAGAGUAAUGGUCGGGCUCUGAAGAGCCCUGAGGAGCUGUUACUCUGAAACAGACCCAGGUACACCCCACCAAACCAAACCCAUUCCAAGGCUGGUCAGAGGUGUUCACUACAAGGAACUGGAGAAAACAGGAUGUUUUGCUUCUCUCCCAGGCCUGUGCUCUACCAGUCUGACCUGCUUAUCCUCCUUUCCUUUUCUGCUAUUCAGGAACCAGGAUUUCUUCAGUGCAUUCAAGCAUAUCAUUUCUGUUCAUUGUCCCGCGUGUAUUACUUGUGUCAGGAUGAAUCACAUCUCUGUACACGUGGCGUAAAACUGGCUCCAGAGCUCUACAGCCACAGGAAGCACUGCUGGGGAGGAGGAUUGCUUCCCUGGCUCCCGCAGCUUGGACACCAGCAUGAGGCAAUCAGGAGGGUAAUCAAGGAGAAAGGUAUACAGGAAUUGCCACAAGAACAUUGUGUCUUACUAGGAGUUCCCAGCGCUACUGAAAUUCAGAGUCUGUGUUUUCUCAAAACAUCUUGAAAGAGAGC
This is a long non-coding RNA of Zonotrichia leucophrys gambelii, 751 nucleotides long. RefSeq lists it as uncharacterized. The record is from RefSeq and is a predicted model, not a curated record. NCBI's taxonomy places the organism in Eukaryota, Metazoa, Chordata, Aves, Passeriformes, Passerellidae. The transcript is spliced from 5 exons.